This 315-nucleotide ribosomal RNA is filed under the name uncultured fungus. Its description in RNAcentral is "SSU rRNA". It matches the Rfam family "Eukaryotic small subunit ribosomal RNA", at positions 1344 to 1680 of the family's 1831-position model. The record is from RNAcentral. Lineage: Eukaryota; Fungi.
UAACCUACUAAAUAGUGCUGCUAGCUUUUGCUGGUAUAGUCACUUCUUAGAGGGACUAUCGAUUUCAAGUCGAUGGAAGUUUGAGGCAAUAACAGGUCUGUGAUGCCCUUAGACGUUCUGGGCCGCACGCGCGCUACACUGACGGAGCCAGCGAGUUUAUACCUUGGCCGAGAGGUCUGGGAAAUCUUGUGAAACUCCGUCGUGCUGGGGAUAGAGCAUUGUAAUUAUUGCUCUUCAACGAGGAAUUCCUAGUAAGCGCAAGUCAUCAGCUUGCGUUGAUUACGUCCCUGCCCUUUGUACACACCGCCCGUCGCU